AUUGAACGCUGGCGGCAGGCUUAACACAUGCAAGUCGAACGGAGAUAGUGUGCUUGCACAUUAUUUUAGUGGCGAACGGGUGAGUAAUGCCUAGGAAUCUGCCCAUUAGCGGGGGAUAACGUGUGGAAACGCACGCUAAUACCGCAUACGCCCUACGGGGGAAAGCAGGGGACUCUUUUAGAGCCUUGCACUAAUGGAUGAGCCUAGGUCGGAUUAGCUAGUUGGUGGGGUAAAGGCCUACCAAGGCGACGAUCUGUAGCGGGUCUGAGAGGAUGAUCCGCCACACUGGAACUGAGACACGGUCCAGACUCCUACGGGAGGCAGCAGUGGGGAAUAUUGGACAAUGGGGGCAACCCUGAUCCAGCCAUGCCGCGUGUGUGAAGAAGGCCUUUUGGUUGUAAAGCACUUUAAGCGAGGAGGAGGCUACCUGUAUUAAUACUAUAGGCUAGUGGACGUUACUCGCAGAAUAAGCACCGGCUAACUCUGUGCCAGCAGCCGCGGUAAUACAGAGGGUGCGAGCGUUAAUCGGAAUUACUGGGCGUAAAGCGCGCGUAGCGGUUUGUUAAGUCGGAUGUGAAAUCCCCGGGCUCAACCUGGGAAUUGCAUUCGAUACUGGCAAGCUAGAGUAUGGGAGAGGAAGGUAGAAUUCCAGGUGUAGCGGUGAAAUGCGUAGAGAUCUGGAGGAAUACCGAUGGCGAAGGCAGCCUUCUGGCCUAAUACUGACGCUGAGGUGCGAAAGCAUGGGGAGCAAACAGGAUUAGAUACCCUGGUAGUCCAUGCCGUAAACGAUGUCAACUAGCCGUUGGGGGAUUUGAUCCUUUAGUGGCGCAGCUAACGCGAUAAGUUGACCGCCUGGGGAGUACGGUCGCAAGACUAAAACUCAAAUGAAUUGACGGGGGCCCGCACAAGCGGUGGAGCAUGUGGUUUAAUUCGAUGCAACGCGAAGAACCUUACCUGGUCUUGACAUAGUGAGAAUCCUGCAGAGAUGCGGGAGUGCCUUCGGGAAUUCACAUACAGGUGCUGCAUGGCCGUCGUCAGCUCGUGUCGUGAGAUGUUGGGUUAAGUCCCGCAACGAGCGCAACCCUUUUCCUUAUUUGCCAGCACUUCGGGUGGGAACUCUAAGGAUACUGCCAGUGACAAACUGGAGGAAGGCGGGGACGACGUCAAGUCAUCAUGGCCCUUACGACCAGGGCUACACACGUGCUACAAUGGUCGGUACAAAGGGUUGCUAGACCGCGAGGUCAUGCUAAUCUCAAAAAGCCGAUCGUAGCCCGGAUUGGAGUCUGCAACUCGACUCCAUGAAGUCGGAAUCGCUAGUAAUCGCGGAUCAGAAUGCCGCGGUGAAUACGUUCCCGGGCCU
Molecule: ribosomal RNA, 1360 nt
Filed under: uncultured bacterium
Lineage: Bacteria
Description: bacterial SSU rRNA
Rfam family: Bacterial small subunit ribosomal RNA
Source: RNAcentral